AUUGAACGCUGGCGGCAUGCCUUACACAUGCAAGUCGAACGGCAGCACGGGAGCUUGCUCCUGGUGGCGAGUGGCGAACGGGUGAGUAAUACAUCGGAACGUACCCUGAAGUGGGGGAUAACGUAGCGAAAGUUACGCUAAUACCGCAUAUUCUGUGAGCAGGAAAGAGGGGGAUCGCAAGACCUCUUGCUUUAGGAGCGGCCGAUGUCGGAUUAGCUAGUUGGUGAGGUAAAGGCUCACCAAGGCGACGAUCCGUAGCGGGUCUGAGAGGAUGAUCCGCCACACUGGGACUGAGACACGGCCCAGACUCCUACGGGAGGCAGCAGUGGGGAAUUUUGGACAAUGGGCGCAAGCCUGAUCCAGCCAUGCCGCGUGAGUGAAGAAGGCCUGGUGUAAGCACUUCUAGCGAGGAGGAAA
This 417-nucleotide ribosomal RNA is filed under the name uncultured bacterium. RNAcentral describes it as "bacterial SSU rRNA". It matches the Rfam family "Bacterial small subunit ribosomal RNA", at positions 30 to 450 of the family's 1533-position model. The record is from RNAcentral.